GAUGAACGCUGGCGGCGUGCCUAAUACAUGCGAGUCGAGCGAACGGACGAGAAGCUUGCUUCUCUGAUGUUAGCGGCGGACGGGUGAGUAACACGUGGAUAACCUACCUAUAAGACUGGGAUAACUUCGGGAAACCGGAGCUAAUACCGGAUAAUAUUUUGAACCGCAUGGUUCAAAAGUGAAAGACGGUCUUGCUGUCACUUAUAGAUGGAUCCGCGCUGCAUUAGCUAGUUGGUAAGGUAACGGCUUACCAAGGCAACGAUGCAUAGCCGACCUGAGAGGGGGACGGCCCACCCUGGAACUGGGCCAGGGCCCAGCCCCCUACGGGGGGCGCCAGUGGGGAUUCUUCCGCAAGGGGCGAAGGCCGGACGGACCAACCCCGCGUGAGUGAUGAAGGUCUUCGGAUCUUAAAACUGUUUUAUUGGGGAAAAACAUAUUUGUAAGUACCUGUGCACACCUGGACGGUCCCUAAUCAGAAGCCCCCGGCUACCUACGUC
This 497-nucleotide ribosomal RNA is filed under the name uncultured bacterium. RNAcentral describes it as "partial 16S ribosomal RNA". It matches the Rfam family "Bacterial small subunit ribosomal RNA", at positions 28 to 507 of the family's 1533-position model. The record is from RNAcentral.